This 291-nucleotide unclassified non-coding RNA is filed under the name Hevea brasiliensis (rubber tree). The record is from RNAcentral. Lineage: Eukaryota; Viridiplantae; Streptophyta; Magnoliopsida; Malpighiales; Euphorbiaceae.
GUUUUUUCAGGUUGUGGCCAAGCAAACUAGCUACGAACUUCAUGAACAUAUAUAGCAAGGAAUUUCAUAAAUUUUUAGCUCUCAAAACGACUAAACUAUCGGACUACAAGGCAAUCUUGGCUAGGGCUACAAGUUUAGCGGCACCUCUUCCACCAAGAUAACUCAGAGAAAUUAUUAGAAAAGGCAAGUUUAGGCAACUCAAGGGCUAACUGAUUAGACUUCCUAAAAACAUGAGAAAAGGAAAUAGACUGAAAAGAGUUAGCUAUGUUGGAGAAAGCUUAAAAGGGAUUG